Pelobates cultripes (western spadefoot toad) is the source of this 300-nucleotide non-coding RNA. Lineage: Eukaryota; Metazoa; Chordata; Amphibia; Anura; Pelobatidae. The record is from the annotation of a GenBank genome assembly.
UAUAUAUUUAGACCAAAUGUCUAAUAAACCGGAGACCUCUUAUAGUCUCAAUAUAAACCGGAGACCUCUCAUGGUCUCAAUAUAACUAGAGUCCUUACACCUUUCCUAUCUACUGGAUACAGACUUACUGAACCAAAGGGGGGUCAUAGACAAUCAGCGUCAAUAAGACACAAAAAGGCUACUCACCGCAAAUGGUUUUGCUGAUCCAUCCAUCCCACUUCUAGACACCAAGCUGAAAGGGUUAAUGCUGUAAUGGACUCUAAUCCCCUCGGUUCUCGAUCCCUCGGUCACCAUAAUCAA